UGAUCAACUGUCAAAAGUGAAACAACUCCCCCCUGGGCAUCCAAAAUGCAGCGAGAAUCCCCAACUGAAGCGACGGUUAUUGUCCACCCAUCAAUAAUUACAAAGGUCACGGUUGUUCCAGAAGUUUGUCCUUUGCUCUGGAAUUCCUUGUCUGUUUUCACAAACCCGGCAACUAAAGCACGGGGUAAUGCAUGGAGCCACUCUUCGCGGCUAAGUCCACGGGGCAUCGCACCCAUCACAUGAGUCAGCAAGUUCUCUCUUGUAAAGAUAGCAGCAGCAUUCCCAUUGUGCCCAUCAAAGACCGCGAAGAUGGAGAAGGCGGAGGGACUGCCUGUGACACGCUGACAGUCGGUCUUG
Molecule: unclassified non-coding RNA, 357 nt
Filed under: Hevea brasiliensis (rubber tree)
Lineage: Eukaryota; Viridiplantae; Streptophyta; Magnoliopsida; Malpighiales; Euphorbiaceae
Source: RNAcentral